GUAAGACUGGGAUAACUCCGGGAAACCGGAGCUAAUACCGGAUAGUUCCUUGAACCGCAUGGUUCAAGGAUGAAAGACGGUUUCGGCUGUCACUUACAGAUGGACCCGCGGCGCAUUAGCUAGUUGGUGGGGUAAUGGCUCACCAAGGCGACGAUGCGUAGCCGACCUGAGAGGGUGAUCGGCCACACUGGGACUGAGACACGGCCCAGACUCCUACGGGAGGCAGCAGUAGGGAAUCUUCCGCAAUGGACGAAAGUCUGACGGAGCAACGCCGCGUGAGUGAUGAAGGUUUUCGGAUCGUAAAGCUCUGUUGUUAGGGAAGAACAAGUGCGAGAGUAACUGCUCGCACCUU
RNAcentral lists this ribosomal RNA (352 nucleotides) under Bacillus zhangzhouensis. Its description in RNAcentral is "bacterial SSU rRNA". It matches the Rfam family "Bacterial small subunit ribosomal RNA", at positions 132 to 481 of the family's 1533-position model. Lineage: Bacteria; Bacillati; Bacillota; Bacilli; Caryophanales; Bacillaceae. The record is from RNAcentral.